This 492-nucleotide ribosomal RNA is filed under the name uncultured bacterium. RNAcentral's name for it is "partial 16S ribosomal RNA". It matches the Rfam family "Bacterial small subunit ribosomal RNA", at positions 29 to 507 of the family's 1533-position model. The record is from RNAcentral.
AGUGAACGCUGGCGGCAGGCCUAACACAUGCAAGUCGAACGGCAACACAGUAAGACCUUGCUCUUACGGGUGGCGAGUGGCGGGCGGGUGAGGAAUACAUCGAACUCUACUUUUUCGUGGGGGAUAACGUAGGGACACUAACUCUAAUACCGUAUACGACCUACGGGUGAAAGCAGGGGAUCUUCGGACCUUGCGCGAUUGAAUGCGCCGAUGUGGGAUUAGCUAGUUGGUGGGGUCAACGCUCACCUAGGCGACGACCCCUAGCUGGUAUGAGAGGAGGAGCAGCCAGACUGGAAAUGAGACAAGGUACAGACUACGACGGGAGGCAGCAGUGGGGAAGAUUGAACAAUGGGCGCAAGCCUGAUGCAGCCAUGCCGCGUGUAUGAAGAAGGACUUCGGGUUGUAAAGUCCUUUCAGGGGGGAGGAAGGGAGUAAAGUUAAUACCUUGGCUCAUUGACGUUACCCGAAGAAGAAGCACCGGCUAACUCCGUG